This 910-nucleotide long non-coding RNA is filed under the name Eucalyptus grandis. Its description in RNAcentral is "long non-coding RNA (EGRA_LNC000191)". Lineage: Eukaryota; Viridiplantae; Streptophyta; Magnoliopsida; Myrtales; Myrtaceae. The record is from RNAcentral.
AAAAAAAAACUUUCAAGUUGUGAUUAUAUUGGGACACAAAAAUUGAAAUUGCAUUUUUUAUCAAAUUUUCUCAUUCUCGCAUUUUGGGACUAUAAUGCAAAUCAUUUUGUGUACAAAUUCCUCAAAAUAAAAAUCACUCUAAUUUUCUAUGAGUAAAAUCACAAAUCAAUUUUUCAAAAAUCAAUAACACUUUUGCAUACGAAACUUUUGGAAUAAAAGUGGACAUUCGAUUGAUGGCCGUGGAUUGAUAAUUUUAAUGAUGUUUUCUCUUAUGAUAAAAUCUUGGCAAAAUACUAAAAUCCCGUAAUAAGGAUUGUGGGGCAUGUAUCGUCGCCUCGAUUUUAUUAUAAGAAGCGACGUCAUUAAAAUAUCAUUUUUCUCUUAUUCACAUAUUGACAUUGUCAUCUUUUUGCAGGUUAUGCGCGAUGCUCUUUGACAUUCUCAUGGUGACCAUUCAAGGACAUGAAUUCUAGAGCUAGGACAAGAGUUGUUUUUUACUUUCAUCUGUAAAAGAGUCUCUUGUAUUUUAUCAGUCUUUAUUCUUGUUAAGAAACAUGUUUUCCGUUUUAGGUUUUGAUUUGCAAAUCCAAUUUAUGCUCUUGUAAAUUGUGCGACUCACAUUUUUAAUGAUGGAAUUCGAAAAUCAUCAUUUAAAAAAAAAUACAAAAAAGAGAGCAAAUUUAGAGGUGUUUUAAGUGAACCUAUACAUUUACCUUCCAAAAUGAAUCUCAAGAAAAAUUUGUUUAAUGCCCUCUCUUCAUAUAGUCAUUUUCUUGGGCUCAUCGAACUCGAGGAGCAAGCAUGCGUCGAGGUUUCAUUGGCGCCAAUUUUCCGUAAAAGCAGAACGAAGUCAAAUUCCAUUCUGAGAAGUUUUGUUAUUCGCAAAUGCCUUACGUGCCAAAAUAACCCG